UAAUUUUCUCGGACCGUGCAUUUUUUUACGAGUCCGUGAAUAUUAUCCCCAUGCGCAAAAUCCUUCCCUAACCUUCUCUUUCUUCUCCUCUCUCUAAUUUCUUUUUUGUUAAACUAAAUUAGAUUUUUAAGAGAGAGGGAGAGUUAGCAGCAGUGCCCUUGGGCCUCAAUGUUCAGCCCAGAAGCCUGGGACCCUCUUCCUCGCGCCGGCCCAAGGCCAAGGCCCAGCUAGCCUCCGCUGCGUAACCCUAGCCCGAUCCCCCUCAGUCCUCUCCUUCCCUUCGUCCGCCUCCAGCGCCGCUCGCGCACGCAGCCAGUGCCAGGAGCCCGCGUCCCCUGCUCGAUCCCCUAUCUCCCUUCGCUCUCUCCCUCCCACAGUCCCACUGCUGCUCUAACAAACCACCGCAACCGCGCCUUGCUGCCGCUGCUCUUCUCGCGCGCCACCGUCCAGGCCUCCGUGCCCGCGCCCGGAUCUCCUCCUCCCAGCAUGUCCUUCGCGCCGGGAGCCCGAGCUCCGCUGGAUCCCCUCACCCUCGUCGUUCAACAUCCGGCGCCGCCCUGCUGCUUUGUCCAUGGCCUCCGCCACCCCUCGUGCCCCUGCCUCAUCCUCCGGCUGGGGUGCUCCAAGACGGCGCCCGCCGCGGCAGUUCGCAACGCCUUCGUCUCCGGCCAUUCCCAGCGCCCAGCCACGCCCCUACCAUCCCCGCGCCCUGCUGCCUGCUGGGGUGCUGCGCCGUUGCCCGUUCAUCUUCAACCGCGGGAGCGCAGUCCUCCUUCUACCCCGUCCAGAUCCGGCUGGCCUCCGCCGCCGUUGCCCGUUCCCGGCCGGAUCCAACUCCGGUGCCCCGUUCCCUUCGGUGUUGACCUCCACCAUCAGCGCCUGGCAGCACCUUCUCGGUCCGUGACUUGUGCUGCUGCUGCUGCUCGCCUUGCGCCCAUGAGCCCUGGCGCCCCUUUUGCUUUGUUGCACGCCCAUGGAUUCCUUGUCGCUCGUGCUGCACCUCCCCGAUGGCCACCAGUGCACCUCCACCUCGCCCUGCCGUUGUUGCCUCCAUACUGCUGCUCCGAACGUCAAGUACCAUGACUUCGCCUCUUGCUCGGCAAGUACCACACCGAACGGCAAGUACCAGGACGUCAGAGGACCCGCCAAGUUCAUCUCCGUGCGUGUACGACUACAUGUCCGGGAGGCGUCUAGAACCUCUCCGGACAAACGUGAAUGACUGCCAACGCAACAACAGGACAGGAGAGUCCGAAGACCCCAAGUACCACGACAACCCUGAAGGGAUUCGAGUUCGUCAAGUUCACCUUCGAAACGUGUACCACUACCAACGAAUGAGACCCUGGAUUCGACAAGUUCCUCACAGUGACCCUGAACAUCUUCGGGGCAUGCCUGACUUCGAACCGUGUACCAUGUCGAACAUGUACGACUACACGACGAACCGCCAAAACCCUGAACGACUACCGCCGCCGAAGUCCGCGAGUACAACUACUUCCACAACACGUCGUGUACGACUACCGUCGCUUGGGUUUUGACAAGACUGAGUACCACUACGUUUGCCAUGUACAACUACACCAAGUCCGGACCGACAAGUGCCUUGAGAACGUCUGUGCCUUUUCUGUCGCUGAGGACCGAAAGUACCACUAUGUCCCAUCGAACCUGAACCGUCUCGUUUGCAUGCUUCGAAGGUAUAACCCCGAGACGACGUCCGUGAACGAAUGCUUGCGAUGUUUGAGAUGCUUGUGUUUGCACCGUGUCCAAAUUGUCACUCGUUUCCUUGCCGCCAAACUCGUGGGACACCCGGAAUCCGGGAUCACCCCACCAUCUCUAGCAUGUUCCGAACAUCUGCUCCUGUCACUUUUCCUUUUGCACCGGUGUAUCCGUGAGCUAUCGGAACCGAGAUGUUGCCGUGGCAUCAUUUUCGGAUUCGUCGUCGUGGCCUUUUUUUUUCUUUCCACCACGGUGACAAAUGCUUCAUAAUACUCUUGUCAAAUUUUAAUAAAAAAACUUGCAUAAAACUUGCACAUGUCAUUCGCAUCAUGAUAAUAACAUUUAAAUGUUUAAAAUUGUUGUUGCACAAAAUUGAUAAUUGCAUAUGGGGAUUUACCGGAAUUGUUGUUUGUUGUUCCGGCCUCAUUUAAACUUGCUUAAAUGUGUAGUUUUCAUAUGCUUCACCUCUUGCCAUGCUUAAUAACAUUUAAUAUUCUUGGGUACCUAAACGAGAGAGAACUAAAUAAUUGAUGUGAUGUUCCGUUAAUAUGCAACUCGUUGCAUAUUGAGCUCCACUUAACUUGUAGUUUUGUUUGUGCCCUUUGCCAUGCCAUGCUUCAUUAAACCGGGCAUGCAUCAUACUUGUUUGCGCAUCGUGCCAUGCUUAUGUGAUGGUUGUUUACCCUGUUAUUUGCUUCUUUCCAGUGUUGCUUCUUCGGGUUGGUUUUUGAUAAUGUUGCGUUUGUGAGGAUUCGUUCGACUACGUCUGUUUAUCUUCUUCAUGGACUCGUUCUUCUUCCUUGCGGGAUUUCAGGCAAGAUGACCAUACCCUCGAAAUCACUUCUAUCUUUGCUUGCUAGUUGCUCGCUCUUUUGCUAUGCCUAUGCUAUGAUACCUACCACUUGCUUAUCAUGCCUCCCAUAUUGCCAUGACAAGCCCCUAACCCACCUUGUCCUAGCAAACCGUUGUUUAGCUAUGUUACCGCUUUGCUCAGCCCCUCUUAUACCAUUGUUAGUUGCAGGUGAAGAUUGGAGUUUGUUCCUUGUUGGAACAUGGAUAUUUUGUUGGGAUAUCACAAUAUCUCUUAUUUAAUUAAUGCAUCUAUACACUUGGUAAAGGGUGGAAGGCUCGGCCUUAUGCCUGGUGUUUUGUUCCACUCUUGCCGCCCUAGUUUCCGUCAUAUCGGUGUUAUGUUCCCGGAUUUUGCGUUCCUUACACGGUUGGGUUAUAAAUGGGAACCCAUUGACAAUUCGCCUUGAAUAAAACUCCUCAAGCAAGGCCCAACUUUAGUUUUACCAUUUGCCACCUAGCCUUUUCUUUCCCUUGGGUUCUGCAGACUCAAGGGUCAUCUUUAUUUUAACCCCCCCCCCCCGGCCAGUGCUUCUCUAAGUGUUGGUCCAACUGAGCGAUGUCCGGGGCUACUAGGGGCAACUCUGGGCUGGCCUACCCGACGUCUUGCUCAUCCGGUGUGCCCUGAGAACGAGAUAUGUGCAGCUCCUAUCGGGAUUUGUCGGCACAUCUGGGUGGCUUUGCUGGUCUUGUUUUACCAUUGUCGAAAUGUCUUGUAACCGGGAUUCUGAGUCUGAUCGGAUUGUCUUGGGAGACGGAAUAUCCUUCGUUGACCGCGAGAGCUUGUGUUGGGCUAAGUUGGGACACCCCUGCAGGGAUUGAACUUACGAAAGCCGUGCCCGCGGUUAUGGGCAUAUGGGAAUUUGUUAAUGUCCGUUUGUAGAAAACCUGAAGUUGAUCUUAAUUAAAAUACAUCAACCGUGUGUGUAACCGUGAUGGUCUCUUUCCGGCGUAGUCCGGGAAGUGAACACAGUGUUGGAGUUAUGCUUGACGUAGGUUGUUCUAGGAUCACUUCUUGAUCAUAGUUGUUCGACCGUGCUUUUGCCUUCUCUUGUCGCUCUCUUUUGCGAAUAUGUUAGCCACCAUAUAUGCUAGUCGCUUGCUGCAGCUCCACAUCAUACCUUUACCUUACCUAUAAGCUUAAAUAGUCUUGAUCGCGAGGGUGUGAGAUUGUUGAGUCCCCGUGACUCACAGAUUACUUCCAAAACCAGAUGCAGGAAAUGAUGAUACCGCUCCACAUGAUAUGACCGAGCUCAAGUGGGAGUUCGAUGAAGACUCUCGUCGUUACUACGUGUCUUUCCCAGAUGAUCAGUAGUGGUGCCCAGUUGGGGCGAUUGGGGACUUUGUCGCAUUUGGGGAUUGAUCUUUAUUUUGGUUCCGUAGUCGGACCUUGAGUGUAUUGGAUGAAUGUAUUGCUUUAUUCAUGUAUUGUGUGAAGUGGCAAUUGUAAGCCAACUAUGUAUCUCUUUCCCUUAUGUAUUACAUGGGUUGUGUGAAGAUUACCUCACUUGCGACAUUGCUUUCAAUGUGGUUAUGCCUCUAAGUCGUGCUUCGACACGUGGGAUAUAUAGCCGCAUCGAGGGUGUUACAAGUUGGUAAUCAGAGCCUUCCCCGACUUAGGAGCCCCCUGCUUGAUCGAAUCGCUGGCGUUGUUGAGUCUAGAAAAAUGUUUUGAGUCUUUUAGGAUUAUAUAUAUCAGAGAGUAGGAUUCUUUUUACUCCUCAGUCCCUUCGUCGCUCUGGUGAGGUAUCCUGGCGUAGAGUUUUGACUCUUCUCUUCUCAAAUUUCACGCGGGUAUCUUGGAAUCGUUCCGAUGGUUUUGUGACGAGAACAUUGUUCUUGGUGCCUCCUGACAUUUAGGGGUUGUGGCAGUGUCCCGGGGAGUUGAGCUCCGAGGUGUUGUCGUCACAAUUUUAUCAUUGCAAUUCUGGAAUACUGAGUUUUGCCGACAUCGAAAAUCUCUUUUAUGCAGUUGUUGGUGAGAUAACCUCGACGCCACCCUGUACUGGGGCGGGAGUUCGGGAGUAUUGCCAUAAGUCGUAUAACGGAUGCUUUUCGAAGGUUGAGGUAAACGAUUUCCGAUGGUUUCUUGGUUAUGUGUUGAAGGAUGGAUACAGCUGGAUGUAGGAUUUGCUAGUUUUGGGUGAGAUAUUAUGCUUCCCCUGUAUCCCCAACACCUGAUUGCAUAACCGAAAAGUUUCGGGAGUUUAUAAGUGGGAAUUCAAGUAGCUCCUAGGAUAUCUUUCCGAUAGAUGUAUGGUAUGAAAUUGGGGUUCGACAUCUAGUGGUCCGCCUAUUCAUGGUUGGUUUUACAGUGGUCUUGUUGUGUCUUAAAGAGUCCUUGGCUAUGCUGACUCGGGGACGCUUCGUAUGUCAUGUGCACUGUCUUGUACAUGGUGGUGCUGUACGAUCGAGCCCGUGUAGGCCCCACCACGAAAACUUCAGACGAAAUCUCUAUCAUAUGUUUGUUCCGGCUUAUUCUGCAAGCCAAUCCUUUGUUUUUGUUUUGAGUUGUGGUAUUCGAGUUGCUUCGAAGUCAAAUGUUGAUUCCAUACCUUUCCUAAGCGGUGUUCUCAUACUCCUAUGUGAAUACAAUCCUUCUUGAUCUUUGAGUUUGCCAUCUCAAUUUCUUUUCAACCGGUGUGCUUCUCUUCUAGUGGAUCCAAUCUUUUUCAACACCCGCAGGAUCAACUCAAGUCUUCUCAACGGUGUUUGUCUCAUCCGUCACAAGUUGCCUUUGUUUUCCCACCCUCCCACCCUUUUUCUUCGAGGACUCGGAUUUCUAAAUCAACUAUCCAUUUUAUUCAUGUGAAGCCUUCAUCCUUUUCUUUCAAGUUUUUGAUCCGGUGAUUUAUCAUGGAGAUUCUAAUGGAGCUUCAAGUUCAUCAUUCGUCAUUCUUUUUCUUCUCCUGUGGAUUCAAUUAAAGCUUUGUCGAUCAUAUCAUUUCCUCGGUUCAAUGCUUUCUCAUAUCGGUGCACCUCUUAAUCGCUCAUCUCUCUUUAUUCAUAUCCGAAGUGCUGAAGAUAUCUCUGAAGAUUCAAUUUUCCAUUCUCAAUUCGUUCAAACUAUCUCGAGGUUGUUAUCUUAUUCAAGCCAUUUAACUCAACUUGUGUAAUCUCUCUUCAAAUCUUUUCAACGGUGUUUCUUUUGAGUGGGCCCUAACCCACAGGUCUUUCUCCAGGAUCUUACCUGACUCUUAUAAUUUCCCCGGAGCUAUUCUCAGAUUUCUUUUCCAAGUUUGAUGUAAGCAUGAGUUAUCAUCAAUCAAAUGUAAUUCUCCAAGAUCUUUCAAAUUAUUUUCAUCGUUGGUUCAACCUUUCCAUUUUUCAUCCCGAAGUAUCAACAAUUCUCAGUGGUGGUUCUCAUCAUCAUUCUCAACAUUUGAAGACCGACGAAGAGCCUCUCUUCAAUCAUAUCCGUUUCGUGAAGAUUCACGGUUCUAGCCUUUUGCCAUACUCUCAUAAUUGUUUUCGAUUGUGAGAAUUCGUUUCACCCAUCCGAAGUAAUCCAGGAGUCUUUUUCAGUUUGAUUCUCCGGAGCCCAUCAUCUCAAAAUUAUUCAUUCUCAACUUUCAGCUCUCAUUAUCUAAAUCUCACCGGUGCAUUAUUCAAGUAUUAUCUAAUCAGCUCGUGAUCUCUUCGUUCACUUGUAUCUAAAUUCUCUCAAGUAUCCUCGUUCGUUUUCUAAUUCUUCCCGAUGUUUCUUUAUCUGUUCUUCGUUCAUUUUAAUUCUUACGGUGGCUAUUCAAGAUUCUUCUUCUUUCGUUUUCAUAUCAAUGUAUUCGUUGUUUCAAUCCUACCAGUGGUUCGUCGAAGACCUUCUCAAGUUUGUGCUAUAUCAAUCUUAACCCUUUCUACGAGAAUAAGUAGUAUGCCAAAUCUGUUGAUUGUCAUCAAUUUAAAUUAGUGAAGGAUAAGCAUAAUGUAAUUCUUAUUCUUGUUUCAUCGAGUAAAUUCAAUUCUUGCUUUCCGGAGGUCCAUCAUAAUUCUCAGUUUCUAUUGUUUCAUCUUUUCUUUUCCCGGAGUCCCAAGCUCUCAUCAUCACGAAGAUCAAUCUAAAUCAUUGCAAGGCUUCCAUCUUAUUCUUUGCAUCCUUCACUUCCUUUUGAUCAUUCUUUUAUUACCGGAGUUCUUCAUGGAGGCUCUACAUGAUGGUUCACCAAGGAUUUAAUUCCUUCUCGAAGUGCUCAUCAAGAUUCUUUCCAUAGGAGCUCAAGUAUUAUUCAUCUUGCAUACCGGAAUGCAGUUCUUCAAAUUUUAUCUUUUGAGGUGGUGUUAUGUCAUUCUUGAUAAUUUCCCUUCAUGUUCCAUGAUUCAAAAGUUGUCAGGGAUGAGAUAUUUAAACACAUCAAUCUCUUCAUUGGAGUUAUCUUGGGUCAUAUUUCACCCAAAGCCUUCCAUUGGGAAUGUUGCUCUUUGUGCUGAUUACCUAUGAUCCAAGUUUUAUCCUUAUCACCUCGGUGGAGGAAGCUUUCUAUUCUUUUCUAGCUCUCAAUCAAAUCUAUUGUGUCCGUUAGUGGCGGAAUUUCACCUCAUAGUUUUGAGAUGUUUUCCAUAAGCCCUCUACAAGCUUACUCUUUUUGUUGUUGGUUUUCCAACAACUACGUUCGACCCUUCUCCUAAAGAUGCUUUCAAGCUAAUUUGAGGUAGAAGAUGUUUUUUCCUUCUCCGUUCCUUUAAUUCCAUUCUUGUAUUUCUUCCGGAGGCAUUGUGAUGUUGCUCUCUUCACACUUCAUCUCGUAUUGUGAGGAUCAUGAUUUUUUCAUGCUUAUCCAUUUAACCGGAGUGUUGUGCCCCUUUGCUCAAGUCCUUUUUCAUCCUAUCAAGUCUUGCAUCUCUUUUCUACUGGAGUGCUUUCAACUUCGUUCAUCGUCGUUGCUUUCUUUCUUUCAAGUUGUUCAACUUUUCAAGGUUCUUUGGUUUCACUCGUUUGUCAAAGAAGCAACUUAGUUUUACCUCUUCUCUCCUCUUCCGUUUCCCUCCGGUGCCAUCCUAGAUCUCGGCACGAGAUCCUCUCGUAGUGGUGGAGUGUUGUUACGCCCCAAGACCGGAGCUUCAGAUGCCUUCCAGGGUUUCCGGGUUUCGUUGUGUGAUUUGUUUAGUCUGUUGCAUUCAUCUUUGCAUCGUGUGCAUUGCAUCAUGUCAUCAUGCCAUCAUGUCAUUUAUUUUCUUAACUCUCAACUAAAUAAAUUGCAUGGAUCUUCGGUCCAUUUAAACCGAGGGAAUUCACGUGGUGAUUCUCUUUAUAACAUAUCCUCCCAAUAUUUUAGGGAGCUAUAUUAAAUAUUCCAUUAUUUUGGAAUCAUCAUAACACACGUGCAAAAUAAUUCCCAUGUCUAUUCCUCUUCGAGUUUGACCUUCAAACCUUGCCUAUAUCUCGCAUCUCUUUUAUCGAGGCUCCUCCUAAAUUCUCAACAUUUAUGGACCUUCCUUUUACUGAGUCUUAGUUCAAACCUUUUGUUUAAAUUCAAAUGAGUUUGAAUUCUUAUCGUUCGAACUGGCCUUUUCUAAUUUUCUCGAACCGUGCAUUUUUUUACGAGUCCAUGAAUAUUAUCCCCAUGCGCAAAAUCCUUCCCUAACCUUCUCUUUCUUCUCCUCUCUCUAAUUUCUUUUUUGUUAAAGUAAAUUAGCUUUUUAAGAGAGAGGGAGAGUUAGCAGUAGUGCCCUUGGGCCUCAAUGUUCAGCCCAGAAGCCUGGGACUAUCUUCCUCGCGCCGGCCCAAGGCCAAGGCCCAGCUAGCCUCCGCUGCGUAACCCUAGCCCGAUCCCCCUCAGUCCUCUCCUUCCCUUCGUCCGCCUCCAGCGCCGCUCGCGCACGCAGCCAGUGCCAGGAGCCCGCGUCCCCUGCUCGAUCCCCUAUCUCCCUUCGCUCUCUCCCUCCCGCUGCUGCUCUGCCAAACCACCGCAACCGCGCCUUGCUGCCGCUGCUCUUCUCGUGCGCCACCGUCCAGGCCUCUAUGCCCGUGCCCGGAUCUCCUCCUCCCAGCCUGUCCUUCGCGCCGGGAGCCCGAGCUCCGCUGGAUCCCCUCACCCACGUCGUUCAACAUCCGGCGCCGCCCUGCUGCUUUGUCCAUGGCCUCCGCCACCCCUCGUGCCCCUGCCUCAUCCUCCGACUGGGGUGCUCCAAGACGGCGCCCGCCGCGGCAGUUCGCAACGCCUUCGUCUCCGGCCAUUCCCAGCGCCCGGCCACGCGCCUGCCGUCCCCACGCCCUGCUGCCUCCUGGGGUGCUGCGCCGUUGCCCGUUCGUCUUCAACCGCGGGAGCGUAGUCCUCCUUCUACCCCGUCCAGAUCCGGCUGGCCUCCGCCACCGUUGCCCAUUCCUGGCCGGAUCCAACUCCGGUGCCCCGUUCCCUUCGGUGUUGACCUCCACCAUCAGCGCCUGGUAGCACCUUCUCAGUCCGUGACUUGUGCUGCUGCUGCUGCUCGCCUUGCGCCCAUGAGCCCUGGCGCCCCUUUUGCUUUGUUGCACGCCCAUGGAUUCCUUGUCGCUCGUGAUGCACCUCCCUGAUGGCCACCAAUGCACCUCCACCUCGCCCUGCCGUUGUUGCCUCCAUACUGCUGCUCCGAACGUCAAGUACCAUGACUUCGCCUCUUGCUCGGCAAG
This 9160-nucleotide long non-coding RNA is filed under the name Triticum aestivum (bread wheat). Its description in RNAcentral is "long non-coding RNA (TAES_LNC001706)". The record is from RNAcentral. Lineage: Eukaryota; Viridiplantae; Streptophyta; Magnoliopsida; Poales; Poaceae.